Long non-coding RNA from Gasterosteus aculeatus aculeatus (three-spined stickleback), 849 nucleotides. The record is from Ensembl. Lineage: Eukaryota; Metazoa; Chordata; Actinopteri; Perciformes; Gasterosteidae.
ACACACACACACACACACACACACUAGCUUUACAUAGAAAAUCAUUUUUGCUGCGAAAUCGAUCACUCCAAAUUUUGAAUUCAGCACCUGUCAAUCAGAGGAGCAGCAUCGGCUCAAUGAACGCUCUGACUCAGCUGCUCAGCUGUGGUAUGGUGAAGUAAAUAUGCAGGUUACUACCAGCGUGUGUCUCCUCAGACGGAAAUACAGCCAAAUAACACAACUAAAAAUAUCCAUGCACUGAGGUCAAAGGUGUGCCUGAGGUCAAGGCUUCUGUUUUUUUCCACUACAGAACAGCCUGAGUCCCUUUAGGACAUUUUGUGAUCCCAAUCGUGUCUGGGAAUCGUCCUUCAGGCAAUUGUGGCUGUGACAGAUAAUGCAACGUAACAGAGUCGAAAAUGUCCCGCUGGGGGAGAAGCUGAUCUCCUGUGCGGAGGGUACGAGAUGGCGUCGCUUCAGGAGUUCUCCGCACGGGAAAAUAUCCUCUUGCCUUUUUCCAAGUGGUGCACAGCGCGUGGACGGGAACCUCUGGGUGUGUAUCGUAGCGUCGCUCUAUGAUCACACAAGGAGCCCUGUGGAACUGUACCUCCUCGCUCCCUCACAGCGAGAUGGUGCUGGGUUUGAUCCCACCAGCCUGUUGGGAGAUACACUAUACGAAUGUGCAUAUACAAUAAGCUCUGCACGCCAGAUACUCCACUUUGAACACGUGUGGAUUAACGCUCUUCUGUUUUCACUGCUCGGACAGUGUUUGCACAUCAAAUGUUUUAUGAAAAGUGCAUGUGUGCUGUGGAAUAUAAGAACAUAUCAAUAGUGUAGAAGCAGUGUAGAAACCUAUGCCCCCCGUCCUCCUCC